GGGCGAGUGGCGGAAUUGGUAGACGCGAUAGGUUUAGGACCUAUUGAGCUUACGCUCGUGGGAGUUCGAGUCUCCCCUCGCCCACAA
RNAcentral lists this transfer RNA (87 nucleotides) under Patescibacteria group bacterium. Its description in RNAcentral is "tRNA-Leu". It matches the Rfam family "tRNA". Rfam says of the family: Transfer RNA (tRNA) molecules are approximately 80 nucleotides in length. Their secondary structure includes four short double-helical elements and three loops (D, anti-codon, and T loops). The record is from RNAcentral.